This 74-nucleotide transfer RNA is filed under the name Methanocorpusculum sp. MCE. Its description in RNAcentral is "tRNA-Arg". It matches the Rfam family "tRNA". Rfam says of the family: Transfer RNA (tRNA) molecules are approximately 80 nucleotides in length. The record is from RNAcentral. Lineage: Archaea; Methanobacteriati; Methanobacteriota; Methanomicrobia; Methanomicrobiales; Methanocorpusculaceae.
UGGACUUGUGGGGUAGUGGAUAUCCUUUCGGGCUUCGAACCCGAAGAACCGGGUUCGAUCCCCGGCAAGUCCGU